AGCUUUGCACAGUGGCAGUAUCGUAGCCAAUGAGGUUUAUCUGAGGCACAAUUACUGCUAAUUGAAAAAGUGAAGGAUGUUAUUUACAUGGUAGUCCUUAAAAUAAUAGUAAAAUAAUAUAUAAU
Canis lupus familiaris (dog) is the source of this 125-nucleotide non-coding RNA. The record is from Rfam. NCBI's taxonomy places the organism in Eukaryota, Metazoa, Chordata, Mammalia, Carnivora, Canidae.